Molecule: long non-coding RNA, 788 nt
Filed under: Anser cygnoides (Swan goose)
Lineage: Eukaryota; Metazoa; Chordata; Aves; Anseriformes; Anatidae
Description: lncRNA (ENSACDG00005018947.1)
Source: RNAcentral
CCCACCCCCACGGGAACCCCUUUCCCAUCCCAUCGGAACCCCUCGUUCCUGCCCCGUAGGAACGGCUUCUCCCACCCCAUGCAAGCCCCUUUUCUUCCCACCCCAUAGGAACGAAACCCUUUUCCCCACCCCAUUGGAACCCCAUUUCUCACCCCACACAAACCCCUUUCCCUGUCCCAUAGGAACCCCGUUUCCUACCCCAUACAAACCCCUUUCCCCAUCCCAUACAAACCCCUUUCCCCACCCCACACAAACCCCCUUCCCCACGCCACGGGAACGACCCCCGUUUGUUUCCCAUUUCCCACACCACUGAAGCCCCUUUCCCUGUCACACCAAACCCAUUUUCCCCACCCCCCCCAUUUCCCUGGCUUUACUCAGCUGGGGCGCACCCAGCCGAGGCACCGAAGCACCCCGGGCUGGCAGCGCGGGGUCGGGGGCGUUAUUUCAGCCCACUCCCCACCCCCCCCCCAGGCUCAGGAGCCUGCACCGUGCGGCCACCACGGUGGCCAACGAGCCCAUCCUCGAAUUCAAACCUGGCAGCCCCGAGCGAGCGGCGCUGCAGCAGGCGCUGGCCGACCUGAAGGGCAGGACCGAAGCCAUCCCCUGCGUGGUCGGUGGGGAGGAGGUGUGGACCGGAGUGGUGCGGUACCAGCUCUCGCCGUUCAAUCAUGCGCACAAGGUGGCCAAGUUCUGCUACGCCGACAAGGAUCUCAUUAACAAAGCCAUUAAUGCUGCCUUGGCCGCCAGAAAGGAGUGGGACCUGAAACCUGUCCAGGACCGGGCCCAGA